CGGACGGGUGAGUAAUGUCUGGGAAACUGCCUGAUGGAGGGGGAUAACUACUGGAAACGGUAGCUAAUACCGCAUAACGUCGCAAGACCAAAGAGGGGGACCUUCGGGCCUCUUGCCAUCAGAUGUGCCUAGAUGGGAUUAGCUAGUAGGUGGGGUAACGGCUCACCUAGGCGACGAUCCCUAGCUGGUCUGAGAGGAUGACCAGCCACACUGGAACUGAGACACGGUCCAGACUCCUACGGGAGGCAGCAUG
This 253-nucleotide ribosomal RNA is filed under the name uncultured bacterium. RNAcentral describes it as "partial 16S ribosomal RNA". It matches the Rfam family "Bacterial small subunit ribosomal RNA", at positions 99 to 353 of the family's 1533-position model. The record is from RNAcentral.